UACGUAGGGGGCGAGCGUUGUCCGGAAUCAUUGGGCGUAAAGAGCUCGUAGGCGGUUUGUCGCGUCUGCUGUGAAAACCUGAGGCUCAACCUCGGGCUUGCAGUGGGUACGGGCAGACUAGAGUGCGGUAGGGGUGACUGGAAUUCCUGGUGUAGCGGUGGAAUGCGCAGAUAUCAGGAGGAACACCGAUGGCGAAGGCAGGUCACUGGGCCGCAACUGACGCUGAGGAGCGAAAGCAUGGGGAGCGAACAGG
This 253-nucleotide ribosomal RNA is filed under the name uncultured bacterium. RNAcentral describes it as "partial 16S ribosomal RNA". It matches the Rfam family "Bacterial small subunit ribosomal RNA", at positions 524 to 776 of the family's 1533-position model. The record is from RNAcentral.